This 157-nucleotide small RNA is filed under the name Plasmodium falciparum Dd2. RNAcentral's name for it is "Plasmodium RNA of unknown function RUF6-5". It matches the Rfam family "Plasmodium RNA of unknown function RUF6-5". The record is from Rfam by way of RNAcentral. Lineage: Eukaryota; Apicomplexa; Aconoidasida; Haemosporida; Plasmodiidae.
AGCUGCCUCAGUAGCCCAAUCGUUAGGUAUGUUGCCUUUCCUUGUGAGAACGUUGGUUCGACUCCGCUUGCCGACAAUUUCAUAGGAAAAGUUGCAGAUCGAGCUGUUGGGUUACCCGGGAGGGGGGCGGCGCAAUUUUUAAAAUUUUUUUUUUUUU